Molecule: ribosomal RNA, 575 nt
Filed under: uncultured fungus
Lineage: Eukaryota; Fungi
Description: eukaryotic LSU rRNA
Rfam family: 5.8S ribosomal RNA (bases 172-325)
Source: RNAcentral
UCCGUAGGUGAACCUGCGGAAGGAUCAUUAUCGUAGGGCUUCGGCCCUGUCGAGAUAGAACCCUUGCCUUUUUGAGUACCUUUCGUUUCCUCGGCAGGCUCGCCUGCCAAUGGGGACCACAAAAACACUUUGCAGUACCUGUAACAGUCUGAACAAACAAACAAAAAUUAAAACUUUCAACAACGGAUCUCUUGGUUCUGGCAUCGAUGAAGAACGCAGCGAAAUGCGAUAAGUAGUGUGAAUUGCAGAAUUCAGUGAAUCAUCGAAUCUUUGAACGCACAUUGCGCCCUUUGGUAUUCCUUAGGGCAUGCCUGUUCGAGCGUCAUUUAAACCUUCAAGCUAAGCUUGGUGUUGGGUGACUGUCCGCCUCACGGCGGACUCGCCUCAAAAUUAUUGGCGGCCGGUACAUUGGCUUCGAGCGCAGCAGAAAACGCGAAACUCGGGCCCGCUCGUAUUGGCUCCCAGAAGCUAUCUUCACAAAUUUUGACCUCGGAUCAGGUAGGGAUACCCGCUGAACUUAAGCAUAUCAAAUAAGCGGAGGAAGUCGACUGCCAAGGGCACACAGGGGGGGGAUA